This 738-nucleotide ribosomal RNA is filed under the name Pseudoalteromonas sp. CCH-63. RNAcentral describes it as "bacterial SSU rRNA". It matches the Rfam family "Bacterial small subunit ribosomal RNA", at positions 45 to 778 of the family's 1533-position model. The record is from RNAcentral. Lineage: Bacteria; Pseudomonadati; Pseudomonadota; Gammaproteobacteria; Alteromonadales; Pseudoalteromonadaceae.
GGCCUAACACAUGCAAGUCGAGCGGUAACAGAAAGUAGCUUGCUACUUUGCUGACGAGCGGCGGACGGGUGAGUAAUGCUUGGGAACAUGCCUUGAGGUGGGGGACAACAGUUGGAAACGACUGCUAAUACCGCAUAAUGUCUACGGACCAAAGGGGGCUUCGGCUCUCGCCUUUAGAUUGGCCCAAGUGGGAUUAGCUAGUUGGUGAGGUAAUGGCUCACCAAGGCAACGAUCCCUAGCUGGUUUGAGAGGAUGAUCAGCCACACUGGGACUGAGACACGGCCCAGACUCCUACGGGAGGCAGCAGUGGGGAAUAUUGCACAAUGGGCGCAAGCCUGAUGCAGCCAUGCCGCGUGUGUGAAGAAGGCCUUCGGGUUGUAAAGCACUUUCAGUCAGGAGGAAAGGUUAGUAGUUAAUACCUGCUAGCUGUGACGUUACUGACAGAAGAAGCACCGGCUAACUCCGUGCCAGCAGCCGCGGUAAUACGGAGGGUGCGAGCGUUAAUCGGAAUUACUGGGCGUAAAGCGUACGCAGGCGGUUUGUUAAGCGAGAUGUGAAAGCCCCGGGCUCAACCUGGGAACUGCAUUUCGAACUGGCAAACUAGAGUGUGAUAGAGGGUGGUAGAAUUUCAGGUGUAGCGGUGAAAUGCGUAGAGAUCUGAAGGAAUACCGAUGGCGAAGGCAGCCACCUGGGUCAACACUGACGCUCAUGUACGAAAGCGUGGGGAGCAAACAGGAU